UAGCCAGCUGGAGAGGCAAUUCAGCUGCCUCUGUUCUCCCUGGAGGAUUUCCAGGCCGCGGAGGAGGUCCUCCAAGAUGGCGCCUCAAGAAAAGCUUUGAGAGCUCGGUUUGUUCUAAUGGGUGGAACAAGUGUGAAGGAUGCGGUUCGCUGCAUCAUGGAGCGAACCCUGAAAAAAGAAGUUCAGGCGCAUUUUACUUUCGUGGGGCGGCAGGGGAAGCAGCCAUUUAAAGGAACGAAGCUGUUUUCCGUCAUCAAGGCUGCUGUCCAAAAAAAAACGAAGGCGGCUGACACGGAGGUAGAGGCGGCCAUCCGGGUCUACCUCUACGGUGUGAAGGACCGGGAGGGCGGGCGGCGUUCCCGCUUUUUGGACGCUGUAGAUGCUGCAGCUUUGAGGAGGAUUGCAGCAUUGAGCGAGGCUCCAGCUUCGAACAACGCUGUAGCCUCGGGCGAAGCUGCAGCCUCGUUCGAUGUUGUGGACCUCUUCGAGGUUGCCGCAUCCGGUGGCUGGAGCGACGAAGAUUUCCAAGAAUAAAACCCGU
Molecule: unclassified non-coding RNA, 541 nt
Filed under: Ixodes scapularis (black-legged tick)
Lineage: Eukaryota; Metazoa; Arthropoda; Arachnida; Ixodida; Ixodidae
Description: uncharacterized LOC120851112, transcript variant X2
Source: RNAcentral